Molecule: ribosomal RNA, 833 nt
Filed under: Pyrenopolyporus papillatus
Lineage: Eukaryota; Fungi; Ascomycota; Sordariomycetes; Xylariales; Hypoxylaceae
Description: partial large subunit ribosomal RNA
Rfam family: Eukaryotic large subunit ribosomal RNA
Source: RNAcentral
CAACAGGGAUUGCCCUAGUAACGGCGAGUGAAGCGGCAACAGCUCAAAUUUGAAAUCUGGCCCUCGCGGUCCGAGUUGUAAUUUGUAGAGGAUGCUUUGGGCGCGGCGCCUUCCAAGUUCCCUAGAACGGGACGCCUUAGAGGGUGAGAGCCCCGUACGGUUGGACGCCUAGCCUAUGUAUAGCUCCUUCGACGAGUCGAGUAGUUUGGGAAUGCUGCUCUAAAUGGGAGGUAAAUUUCUUCUAAAGCUAAAUACCGGCCAGAGACCGAUAGCGCACAAGUAGAGUGAUCGAAAGAUGAAAAGUACUUUGAAAAGAGGGUUAAAUAGCACGUGAAAUUGUUGAAAGGGAAGCGUUUGCGACCAGACCUUUUCCAGGCGGAUCAUCCGGCGUUCUCGCCGGUGCACUUCGCCUGGUUUAGGCCAGCAUCGGUUUUCCCAGGGGGAUAAAGGCGGCGGGAACGUAGCUCUUUCGGGAGUGUUAUAGCCCGCCGCGUAAUACCCUUGGGGGGACCGAGGACCGCGCUUCGGCAAGGAUGCUGGCGUAAUGGUCGUCAACGACCCGUCUUGAAACACGGACCAAGGAGUCGAACAUUUGUGCGAGUGUUUAGGUGUCAAACCCUCACGCGUAAUGAAAGUGAACGGAGGUGAGAGCCCCUCGCGGGUGCAUCAUCGACCGAUCCUGAUGUCUUCGGAUGGAUUUGAGUAAGAGCAUAACUGUUCGGACCCGAAAGAUGGUGAACUAUGCGUGGAUAGGGUGAAGCCAGAGGAAACUCUGGUGGAGGCUCGCAGCGGUUCUGACGUGCAAAUCGAUCGUCAAAUCUGCGCAUGGGGGC